UCUGGUUGAUCCCGCCAGAGGCCACUGCUAUCGGAGUUCGAUUAAGCCAUGCGAGUCGAGAGGUGCAAGACCUCGGCAUACUGCUCAGUAACACGUGGACAAUCUGACCUAUGGAAGGGGAUAAUCCCGGGAAACUGGGGAUAAUACCCUAUAGACUAUGGAUGCUGGAAUGCACUGUAGUCGAAAGGUCCGCCGCCAUAGGAUGGGUCUGCGGCCGAUUAGGUAGUUGUUGGGGUAACGGCCCAACAAGCCUGUAAUCGGUACGGGUUGUGGGAGCAAGAGCCCGGAGAUGGAUUCUGAGACACGAAUCCAGGCCCUACGGGGCGCAGCAGGCGCGAAAACUUUACAAUGCGGGAAACCGUGAUAGGGGAACUCCGAGUGCCCGUAAAAUCGGGCUGUCCACCAGUUUAAACAACUGGUGAAGAAAGGGCCGGGCAAGACCGGUGCCAGCCGCCGCGGUAAUACCGGCGGCUCGAGUGGUGGCCACUAUUACUGGGCUU
This 500-nucleotide ribosomal RNA is filed under the name uncultured methanogenic archaeon. Its description in RNAcentral is "bacterial SSU rRNA". It matches the Rfam family "Archaeal small subunit ribosomal RNA", at positions 1 to 511 of the family's 1478-position model. The record is from RNAcentral. Lineage: Archaea; Methanobacteriati; Methanobacteriota.